This 359-nucleotide ribosomal RNA is filed under the name uncultured bacterium. Its description in RNAcentral is "bacterial SSU rRNA". It matches the Rfam family "Bacterial small subunit ribosomal RNA", at positions 29 to 417 of the family's 1533-position model. The record is from RNAcentral.
AGCGAACGCUGGCGGCAGGCUUAACACAUGCAAGUCGAACGGGCACUUCGGUGUCAGUGGCAGACGGGUGAGUAACGCGUGGGAACAUACCUCUUGGUUCGGAACAACACAGGGAAACUUGUGCUAAUACCGGAUAAGCCCUUACGGGAAGAUUUAUCGCCGAGAGAUUGGCCCGCGUCUGAUUAGCUAGUUGGUGUGGUAAAAGACGCACCAAGGCGACGAUCAGUAGCUGGCUGAGAGGAUGAUCAGCCACAUUGGGACUGAGACACGGCCCAAACUCCUACGGGAGGCAGCAGUGGGGAAUAUUGGACAAUGGGCGCAAGCCUGAUCCAGCCAUGCCGCGUGAGUGAUGAAGGCCC